This 377-nucleotide ribosomal RNA is filed under the name uncultured bacterium. RNAcentral's name for it is "bacterial SSU rRNA". It matches the Rfam family "Bacterial small subunit ribosomal RNA", at positions 355 to 749 of the family's 1533-position model. The record is from RNAcentral.
UCGGGAAUUUUGGGCAAUGGGCGAAAGCCUGACCCAGCAACGCCGCGUGAAGGAUGAAGUAUUUCGGUAUGUAAACUUCGAAAGAAUAGGAAGAAUAAAUGACGGUACUAUUUAUAAGGUCCGGCUAACUACGUGCCAGCAGCCGCGGUAAUACGUAGGGACCAAGCGUUGUUCGGAUUUACUGGGCGUAAAGGGCGCGUAGGCGGCAAUUCAAGUCAUCUGUGAAAUCUCCGGGCUUAACUCGGAACGGUCAGAUGAUACUGCUUUGCUAGAGUGCAGAAGGGGCAAUCGGAAUUCUUGGUGUAGCGGUGAAAUGCGUAGAUAUCAAGAGGAACACCUGAGGUGAAGACGGGUUGCUGGGCUGACACUGACGCUGG